GGCUUUAUAGUUUAUUAAAAUAUUAAAUUGCAAGUUUGAAGAUGCUUUAAGCUAAAGCCU
RNAcentral lists this transfer RNA (60 nucleotides) under Fabaeformiscandona kushiroensis. RNAcentral's name for it is "tRNA-Cys". The record is from RNAcentral. Lineage: Eukaryota; Metazoa; Arthropoda; Ostracoda; Podocopida; Candonidae.